UAAUACUCCAUCAUCAUUUAUUAAUGGCAUGGAUAAUAGUGUGAUACACAGAUAUAUUACUGUAAGUAGAAAACAUGAAGAUAUCUCUCAUGCAUUGCUCUCUUAAUUCCUUCUCUACAGACGUAACUCACUUCACUACAUGUCUCUCUUUUAGAUGUCAACAUUGUUAAUUCGCUAUAAAGCAACAUCUGCAGCAAAGAAACAUGGGAACCUAGCUAUAUGUAUUACUAUAUAUAUAUGUUGCUGUAGGAACUAGCAUUACAACAUCAUGCAGCUGGUGCCACCUUUGACGCAUCAUCAUCAUCGGCAUCGUCAUCGUCAUCGCCUUCACAUCCUCUGUAGAUACAUAUAAUUGAUCCCAACUUAGCUUCUGUAGCCAAAAACUUGGGGCAACCAAUUGAUAACUUUUUCUUGCUGGCACUAAUUAGAAUAACCAUAUUGGUAGUGAAGGAGUUUUUUGAACUUACCCUAGCUUUGAGAUAUGAGCCUAUACACGUCCAAGCCAACUCAACUUGUUGCAAGAUAUGGUCAAAUUCUCCUAUUUAUAUCUUGGAAAACGAAUGGCAUUUGCAAAAAAAAUCUCUUCCAUGUCCACCACUUGUUGAGGUAUUUUCUGUAUGCGUGUAGUAGUCUCUGACUUGGUUUUCGAAUCGUAAGAGAUUCGUAAUUUUUUGGAAUUCGAUCUCAACAAGUGGAGGAGAUUAGGGGUAUCAUGCGACAUCACUUUGCUAAGAUUUUUCUUUUAUAUGUACAUAAACAACAUUUUCUCACAAAAUAAAUAUAUAUGGAUGUAUGUAAACAAUAGGU
Molecule: long non-coding RNA, 807 nt
Filed under: Nicotiana tabacum (common tobacco)
Lineage: Eukaryota; Viridiplantae; Streptophyta; Magnoliopsida; Solanales; Solanaceae
Description: long non-coding RNA (NTAB_LNC016826)
Source: RNAcentral